UCCGGCAGCUAGCUCUCUGCAACUCUCAAAUGGUCUCCAACUGAAGCUAAGCAGGGCUGCGCCUGGUCAGUACCUGGAUGGGAGACCACAUGAGAAAGCUAGGCUGCUGCCGGAA
Molecule: ribosomal RNA, 115 nt
Filed under: Danio rerio (zebrafish)
Lineage: Eukaryota; Metazoa; Chordata; Actinopteri; Cypriniformes; Danionidae
Source: RNAcentral